This 733-nucleotide ribosomal RNA is filed under the name uncultured eukaryote. RNAcentral describes it as "SSU rRNA". It matches the Rfam family "Eukaryotic small subunit ribosomal RNA", at positions 672 to 1426 of the family's 1831-position model. The record is from RNAcentral.
GGCGUGUACUGCUUGGCUGGGCCUUACUUCUUGGUGAGCCGGCGUGCCCUUUAUUGGUGUGCGUCGGGGAACCAGGACUUUUACCUUGAGAAAAUUAGAGUGUUCAAAGCAGGCCUAUGCCUGAAUACAUUAGCAUGGAAUAAUAGAAUAGGACGUGCGGUUCUAUUUUGUUGGUUUCUAGAGUCGCCGUAAUGAUUAAUAGGGACAGUUGGGGGCAUUGGUAUUGAGUCGCUAGAGGUGAAAUUCUUGGAUUGACUCAAGACCGACUAUUGCGAAAGCAUUUGCCAAGGAUGUUUUCAUUAAUCAAGAACGAAGGUUAGGGGAUCGAAAACGAUCAGAUACCGUUGUAGUCUUAACAGUAAACUAUGCCGACUAGGGAUCGGAUGACCUCAAAAUUGAUGUGUCAUUCGGCACCUUACGAGAAAUCAAAGUCUUUGGGUUCUGGGGGGGAGUAUGGUCGCAAGGCUGAAACUUAAAGGAAUUGACGGAAGGGCACCCCCAGGUGUGGAGCCUGCGGCUUAAUUUGACUCAACACGGGGAAACUCACCAGGUCCAGACAUAACUAGGAUUGACAGAUUGAUAGCUCUUUCAUGAUUUUAUGGGUGGUGGUGCAUGGCCGUUCUUAGUUGGUGGAGUGAUUUGUCUGGUUAAUUCCGAUAACGAACGAGACCUUAACCUCCUAAAUAGCCAGGCCGGCUUCGGCUGGUCUCUGGCUUCUUAGAGGGACUGUCAG